This 358-nucleotide ribosomal RNA is filed under the name uncultured Thauera sp. RNAcentral's name for it is "bacterial SSU rRNA". It matches the Rfam family "Bacterial small subunit ribosomal RNA", at positions 1023 to 1382 of the family's 1533-position model. Lineage: Bacteria; Pseudomonadati; Pseudomonadota; Betaproteobacteria; Rhodocyclales; Zoogloeaceae. The record is from RNAcentral.
GGAGCCAGAACACAGGUGCUGCAUGGCUGUCGUCAGUUCGUGUCGUGAGAUGUUGGGUUAAGUCCCGCAACGAGCGCAACCCUUGUCACUAGUUGCCAUCAUUUAGUUGGGCACUCUAGUGAGACUGCCGGUGACAAACCGGAGGAAGGUGGGGAUGACGUCAAGUCCUCAUGGCCCUUAUGGGUAGGGCUUCACACGUCAUACAAUGGUCGGUACAGAGGGUUGCCAAGCCGCGAGGUGGAGCCAAUCCCUUAAAGCCGAUCGUAGUCCGGAUCGGAGUCUGCAACUCGACUCCAUGAAGUCGGAAUCGCUAGUAAUCGCAAAUCAGAAUGUUGCGGUGAAUACGUUCCCGGGCCUU